UCAAGUGACUGUCGAUUGGAAGUAUGGCUGUCACUUCUUUUGUGAUAAAUCUUUGUUUGCAUACCCACAACUAAUCUUAACGUUUCAUACGCAGAACAAGGCAGGUGAGACGGGUGAGGUCUGUAUCGUCAGUUAACAGUUCAGUUUGGAAAGACACAGACUCAGUGAUCUGGCCACGGAAAAAGGAACCCAGCUACACCAAGAAAAGGCAUGGAAUGGAUCAAGCAACUCAUCGUCUGUUCAUGUCUGGUGUUGAAAGUUUUCUCAACAAGUGCUCCUUGCACCAACUGUGACCGUAACAACGUGACCUGUGUUGACGGUGUGUGUCCACCUCGCUGUGUCAAUGUGACGUCAUCUGGAGAGUGUCUCCAGUGUCUGGACUCCAGGUUCUAUGGUAAACAGUGUCAACAUGACUGUCCAGACACCUGUCUCAACUCUCGUUGUCAGAUGAACAACACCCGUGUUGUGUGUACAGAGGGAUGUGUGGCCGGCAAGAAGGGAGAUAACUGUGGAGUGAACUGUCCUACAGCCUGUACACAGUGUGAACGUUAUGGUGAUGGUUGUACAGGACCGUGUCAGAAUCCCCAGUAUUACGGUCAACACUGUAGAACACCUUGUCCCUCCAUCUGUACAGGUGGAUGUAAUAGGAUCACAGGGGAGUGUGACAGCUGUGAGCCAGGUUACACAGGGGACAAGUGUGAUGUUACCUGUCCCCCCAACUGUACAGGUGGAUGUGAUAAAGACACAGGGGAGUGUGGCAGCUGUGAGCCAGGUUACACAGGGGACAAGUGUGAUGUUACCUGUCCCCCCAACUGUAGAGGUGGAUGUGAUAAACACACAGGGGUGUGUGACAGCUGUGAGCCAGGUUACAGAGGAAAGAAUUGUAAUGACACCUGUCCCCCGAGCUGUAGAGAUGGAUGUGACAAGGAGAUAGGACAGUGCAAGAGAUGUAAUCCAGGGAACAGUGGCAAGUACUGCAAUACUUCCUGUCCUGAUACUUGUAGGGAAGAAUGUACUGAAGAUGGAAAGUGCCAAUCGCCAGUUACAGCCAAAAGUCUCGGUGUAAUACUGGUUGUGAUGGCUGUGUGCUUGUGCCUGGCUCUUGUUGGACUUAUCGUAUGGAGAAGAAGGCGAAGACGGAAAUUGAAACUAAAGGCUGACACCCCUGUCCUUGCUCCUUUCAUUCCAAUGUCUGAGCGUAAUGAUGACACCGUCAGUGACAUGUCCGACGCCGACAACCCCUUGUACGAACACGCCGGCGGCCCGAAGUGUGUUCCUCAAAUACGUAUGUGUCCGGAACUGCAAGGGGAAGAAUCAGUCAGUUACAUGGCGGAGGAGUUCAAGAAAUUACCUACGCCAAUCGCCAGUUCAUCUCACUGUGGACUUUUGACUGAGAAUGUCUUCAAAAACAGAUAUAGGGACAUUCUACCAUUUGACACCACACGAGUGUGUCUGGAGGUGGAGGACGAGGGCGGAAGUGAUUAUAUCAACGCUUCCUACAUUGAUGGUUACAAACAAGAAACGCAAUUCAUUGCAACACAAGGUCCUUCCAGCCACGCGGUGUUGGACUUUUGGAGAAUGAUCUGGCAAGCUGAUGUAAACAAGAUUGUAAUGUUGACCAACCUCUUCGAGGCAGGAUUUUCAAAGUGUGACCAGUACUGGCCGUGCUGCGGCGUCGAGUCCAAGACAUAUGGAUACAUAUCGGUUCAGUGUAUAGAGGAGAGAGUGUUCAAGCAUUACACGACAAGACGCUUAGCGAUAUGGAAAUCCAACUCUCCAACGAGGGUGAUCCAUCACCUGCACUAUACAUCCUGGCCGGCCUACGGUGUCCCGGAUGAAGUGACGUCACUCAUUGACUUCUACAAAGUGGUCAGGAACACGGACACAGACGGGGGAGGCACCACAGUGGUCCACUGCAGUGCUGGGGUUGGGCGAACUGGAACCUUCCUGGCCCUAGUUUAUCUGAUUGAACAGUCCAGGGAGGAACAUCGAGUAUGUGUGUUCUCCUGUGUCCAGGGAUUCCGCAUGCAGAGGAUGAACAUGGUCCACACAGAGGAACAGUACAUUCUACUGUACCACGCCCUGAUCGAGGCCCUGAAGACCCGGGGGAUACUGCCUGACAACUGUAGACCUGUGUGGCUCCAGUGUCAGCGCUGCUGGGAGAACUUCAAGCGGCAUCCUGUAUGUAAUGGUGUGCUGAUGUGCUGAUGUGCUGAUGAGAUGUUGAGAAGGCGCACAAGGGUUCGCGAAAGAAGUAAUUACCCGAGUUGAGCUAUUCCUUUCUUCAUGUUUGAGUAUCUGUCGUGCAGGGCGAAGAGAUGUUGCUGUCAAUGAUGUAUAUUAGUCUCUUGCUGCCGCACCACAUACCUUACCCGAAGCAACACUUCAGAAUACCCAAGUGGCCAAUCAGCCUGAUUUUUUCUGAGGAGUAUCCGACAUUCGCCAUGCUAUGUAUAACUCUCUGUACAUUCCUUCAUAGUCUACGCUAGUGCUGUAACGUCUAAGCCCACAUGUACGGGCGAGUAGGAAAUUUAUAUUGAUGAGUGAAUAAAUGUUUUUAAAGCCGCAUUCAGCAAUAUUCCAGUUGCAUCACAGCGGCCUGUAAAUAUCUGACUAUGGAACAGGCAAACGUGUUAUUGCAAACACGGCCAAUACUGCGAAUUGAGACCGGUCAGACUUGUAUAUAACUCUUCCCCAAACAAUAUAUUUACUGUAACCUGUUGAUAACAUGUGGUAAUUAUACACCGAUAUUGUUGCAUCCAUAGAUUUGCUGUAACCUUUAUGUGUAGCAACUUUAACAUCUUCCUUACUGAUGUACAUGUAGAUGUGUGAUAUUGUUUUGAUACCUCGUUUGAUUAAAUACAAGUCGGUACAGAAAUAUGUUGCAUCCAAAGUGAAAUUUGCAAUGAAUUCUAAGUGAAGUAACGAUAUUGCAAGAAAAGUUCAAUGUCAUACAAUAAUACAUGUUCGCUACGAAUGUAUAAUCGAUGCAAUGGUAUUUGAAAGGUCAGGGGAUCUUGAUACACAUAUAUUACUGGCCUGUAUAAAUAUCUGUAUAUGCAGCGAAUGAAUAAAAAUUAUAUACGCCCCUGGA
RNAcentral lists this unclassified non-coding RNA (3094 nucleotides) under Haliotis rubra (blacklip abalone). RNAcentral describes it as "receptor-type tyrosine-protein phosphatase F-like, transcript variant X10". The record is from RNAcentral. Lineage: Eukaryota; Metazoa; Mollusca; Gastropoda; Lepetellida; Haliotidae.